This 247-nucleotide unclassified non-coding RNA is filed under the name Methanoregula boonei. RNAcentral describes it as "16S-23S rRNA intergenic spacer". Lineage: Archaea; Methanobacteriati; Methanobacteriota; Methanomicrobia; Methanomicrobiales; Methanoregulaceae. The record is from RNAcentral.
AACGAAUUUUAUUCGGGUUAAAGCGGUUGCUAGACAAACUGUAAAAUUGCCGGUGUCGACAAGAGAAGGCUCACGUGUCUGACAUGGGGACACACGAGGCUGGGUUCGAAUCCCAGGGAGCUGUUUAGAUGCACCUCGAGAUGUGAAUCACGAGGGAAGGGCUGAGAGUCAAACCAAUGACUUUGCGAGGCCGUGUAAAGGUUUGCACUCAGGACGUUAAAUGGGUUUAGCGGAGCAUUAGUCUAAA